CGGAAGCGGCGGCCGGGCAGCCAUGUCGCCUUUGUCUGCGGCGCUGGCGGCCCUGCGGGUGUACGCGGUGGGAGCGGCGGUGGUCGUGGCGCAGCUGCUGCGCCGCCGCCUCCGGGGCUUCGCGGAGCCAGUUUUCCCCCUACAACUCGAGCGUGUUGCUAUAGUGACCGGCGGGACCGAUGGAAUUGGAUAUUCGACAGCGAAGCAUCUGGCCAAACUGGGCAUGCACGUUAUCAUAGGCGGAAAUAACCAGGGCAAAGCCGAAGAAGCUGUGAGGAAGAUAAAAGAGGAAACCCUCAAUGACAAAGUGGAAUUUCUAUAUUGUGACCUGGCGUCCAUGAGGUCUAUUCAGCAGUUCGUCCAGAGGUUCAAGAUGAAGAAAAUCCCGCUCCACGUCCUGGUCAAUAACGCUGGUGUAAUGAUGGUGCCGCAGAGGACCACCGAGGACGGCUUUGAGGAGCACUUUGGUGUGAACUACCUGGGGCACUUCCUGUUGACCAACCUCCUCCUGGACACCCUGCGGGAGUCGGGCGCCCCCGGCCGCAGCGCGAGGGUGGUGACCGUGUCCUCGGCCACACACUACGUCGGGGAACUGAAAUUGGACGACCUUCAGAGCAGCAAGAGCUACUCGGCGCACGCGGCGUACGCCCAGAGCAAGCUGGCCCUGGUGUUCUUCACGUACCACCUGCAGGCACUGCUGGAGGCCACAGGCAGCCCCGUGACCGCCAACGUGGCCGACCCCGGCGUGGUGGACACCGACCUGUAUAGACACGUCUUCUGGGGCACACGGCUCAUUAAGAAGCUGUUCGGCUGGUGCUUAUUCAAGACCCCGGAUGAGGGAGCCUGGACCUCCGUCUACACGGCGGUCACCCCAGCGCUGGAAGGCCGUGGCGGCCGCUAUCUUUACAACGAGAAAGAGACCAAGUCGCUGGCGGUCACGUACGACCUGGAGCUUCAGCGGCAGCUGUGGGCCAGAAGUUGCCGGAUGACGGGCAUCGCCGAUGUGACCCAGGAGGCCUUCCGGGGUUAGCCACCCGCCAGGGAGACCGUGAUCCGCCAGGCGCUCGCAGUGCUUCCCUGGAUGUGGGUGCCCAUCGCAGUCUGUCAGGCUCUUCCUGAACUAGUUUCAUCAUGGACCUUCCAGGGUCUGCAGACACCUCAUCUUUCAGCAGCGUGACGGCUGCCCUCUACGCCUUGGAAACAGAUGAAGAAGAUGUUAUGGAUUCUGUGUCGUGCAACCAGGAGACGUUGGUGUAAAAGGACAGGAGACCAGGACGUGUACGUUUGAGGUCCUCACCCCCUCACCUGCAUCCUGCUGUGGCUGGCAGAGCUGAGACCCCAGCGCCUGGGACUGUUCAUGUGGUGGCCUGAGAGGAACAAACCAGGGCCCCUUCUGCAGGUGCUCAGACUCUGCAGGACGUCCGCUUGGAUAAGGAACAUCCCGACACCCUUCCCGGGAGAACCAUAGGGUGACAAGGAGGCUCCCGGGGACCAUGGACCAGCACAAGGAAGAGAGCUGCCAGAGGGUCAGAAAUUCCUGACCCCCUUCAUCGCAGUUGCAGGAGGAGAGGUGAUGAUUACGGUGUGAACCCACAAGACGAUUUGUGGGUCCUGGUGGCCCAUGGCUCAGAUCACUGUGUGAAGAUGGGGGCACGUGGUCCCAGUGGAAGACCCUGCUUAUUCAAACAGCUCACUAUUAUGUCGUGUAUAAGAGUGUCCUGGACGGCUGUAACACAGGACCACAAACUGGGAGUCUGAAAAAAGCAGAAAUUCAUCCAGCCCCCGGUCCUGGAGACCAGACGUCUGAGGUCAAGGUGUCCCAGGGCUGUGCUCCCUCCAGAGGCCCCAGGGGAGGGUCCUUCCUGCCUCUUCCAGCUUCUGGGGGCUUCAGGGGUCCCUGGGCUUGUGGCCGCCACCCUCAUCCAAGAGGACCUCAUCUCAGACCCUUCACUUCCAUCCGGAUAAUCAAGAAUGAUCUCUUCAUCUCAAGAUCCUUCAUUAGUUACAUCUGCCAAGACCCUUUUGCCAACAAAGUCAUAUCCAUAGGUAACAGGGUUUAGGACGUGGUCAUAUCUUUUUGGUAGAAAGUAUUCAGUCCACUGCAUGGUACAUGAAUUGGAUACUUGGAAACUCAGGAAACAUCCAUUCCUUUUCUGGUGACCUGGAAAACCAUGGAGGUCACGGCUUCUUGUAUAUGUACCCAAGGCCGCUUUCCUGGGCGAGUGACCCAUGUAGCUUACACGGGACCCUGGCCUCAUAAGGACGCCUACUGGCUUAAUGCCCUAUGACCGCCAUCUUGAAAUUCUUAAUGAAGCGUGAACAAGGACCCACAUUUUCAUUUUGCCCUGGAACUGCCAAUGCGAUAGCCCUCUUUGCUCACAUUCCUUCCAACCUCAAGAAAGAGGAGCAAGUCUGCAGCCAAUAAGGACACCCCCACCCCCAGCACACCCUCCAUCCAGCCACUGAUGUGCUCAAGCCUACCUUUCAUGGGUGGUGAAGACCUCUCCCCAAGAUCCAGUAAGGCUAGUGGGUUUUGGCUGCACAUUGGGGGAUCCUCUGAAAACCACUAAUGCUCAGCUCCACCAUCAACAGAAUCCCCAAGUUCGUUCCUCUGGGUACCAGCAUUUAUUAGACUUCCUCAAGCCAUCCUCUUGUUCAGGCAAGUUUGAGACCCUCUGGGCCAGGCAAAUGCAGACUGAAGCUUCCAGCCCUGGGCGCCAGCCCCUCCCAGAACUGCUCAGAUGUUCUGCUAAGCCCUACAGCCCCGACUGAUGUGUUUCAGAACUAGAAUUACUUUGUAUGUUAAAACCAAGAUGGAGACAUGCCUUGUCUAAUACUUCCGGACAGCUAGGAUGAUGUACUUCAAAGCAGGAUCUUGACUUCCAGGAAGAUCCCAACCUUGGAGCAUUUGCACAUCACUGGAGAGCCCUUUACGGCUUGAGGUCAUAGUACACAAGUGCCAGCUACUCUUAGUGGCAUCACAAAGUUGGUUCCCAAGUACAGCCUCAGGAUGAGGAGGCAGGGUGAGUCCUGUCCAGUCCGACAUCCUCUGUCACUUUGAGAACAAGCUUGCUGGCCCCUGAAAGAUGCUGCAGUCCCUGGGCGAAGAUAGGCUCUGAGAACAAUUUGGACCGUGUAGGACCCUGGCCUCACAUGGCCCCUCCUCAUUGCAUGACCGCCCUUAUGUCACUCGUCCACCAGGGGAAAGAGAGGACACAGUUCUGGAGAAGUUACCAUGUUCCCUCAACACCUGAUUGUGGAACAUUCCUCAGAGCUCAGAGACACUUCCCAGCAGCUGGAGGAGUCUCGUGGACCACUGGAUUCUUUUCCCAUUUGGGUUAUUACAGAAUAUUGAGUGGAGUUCCCUGUGCUAUACAGAUUCCACAUAGAAGCAAUAUCAUAUGGCAUUUGUCUUUGUCUGGCUUACUUCACCUAGUCUGAUCAUCUCUAGGUCCAUCCAUGUUGCUGCAAAUGGCAUUAUUUCAUUCUUUUUAUGGCUGAGUAAUAUUCCAUUGUAUAUAUGUACCACAUCUAAAAAGAAGGCGAAUUCCGCCCACAAGAACGAAGUUGGAAGAGAAGCUCGACCUUCCAGUGAAAAUACAGACCUUAAAAACUAGUUAAAAUAUCAAGUAUGAUCUACUCCACUCAAGGGGAUUUCAACCCAAUAGCUGAAACUCAGGAGAGUCCCUCGACUUUAUGGAAGACCCUAUUGAAUAUGCAGAAAAUGGAAGUGGGAUGGUCCAAAUCCACAGAGACGAACUCCCGUGCCAUCUGUAGAAUCGUUGACUCAGUCCCUGGACUGAGCAUCUCCCUGAGAGACCGCAAACUCCGGCAAAGAAGCACUCAACUGUCUUCGGCUCGCCUUCCGAAGGGAAGCAGUAUCUCUACCUGCUGCCCCAUCUGGCUCGAUCCACGAGAAGCAGCUGGAGGAGGGUUGCCGUGUGAGCCAUCAGGUGCGACCCCACGCCUCUGCAGGGUUCCCCUCUCGUUGCCAACAUCCCGGCAUGCGGAACACGGUGCAGGGAUUCGGAUGCACCGUGGCUUACGUUCCGGGGACACGGUAAGGAGCUUGUUAAUCAAUUACCGUCCAAUUCUGAUGGAUCCAGAGCCGCCCCCCCUUCCCUCCGAAGCAGAUGCUGGAGCUGAAAUGGUUUGUGUACCUACGUAGACAACGUGGUUUUACUUCAUCUCAGUGGAUACAGUGGCAGCUCCUUCUCCCUCCUUGUCCUCUGUGUGGGCUCCUGAACGGCCUCUUUUCAUCACCUCUGGGUCUUCUUCAGCCACCCCCUCCAUGAAUAACGCCUGAAAAAGAAUGCACGGCCAAGAAGCACUGCGCCAAGGUCAAGGCGGCUGAGGCUGAAUCACUGGUUUGUCUGCAGGGGUUCUGCAUUGCAAUCGAACUUCAAAGCCCCGGCGGGCGGUUCCUGCAGCAGGAAUGCAAUCGCCACAUCCAACCUUCAGAUCUCGGGUUGCAGAAGAGGCAGCCCACCCUCAAGCCUUUCCAGCCCAAGAGAAAGAUGGUUUCCACUGCGGGGCUGAACCAAGGGACUCGAACGCAGGAAGCAGUGCCACUCGAGGAUGUCAGGGCAACACCGACAGCCUUAAUACGUCAAGGAUUCAGCAGUGUCCAUCACAAACCUUUCCUUCUCUCUGAUUGCCUGAGAUUUUUGUCACGAGAUGUCUGGGAUCCUGAUGAGUCACUAGGGACGUGAAAUCAUAACUAGAAGAAACGCCACCAAGGAAACAAUGUGUCACAGGUCAGCAUAUGUGGUCGACCCUUCCUGACAACAUCUCACAACCACAGAACAGACGGGACGCCUGUGUUAUCCUGACGUAAAUAUGGACCCCAGGAGAAACCAGCUCUUUGGACCCACGGUAACUGUUCCUGGGAGGGCAUUAUUGGGGGUGGAUUUCCCAAGAUGCUGCUUACAAGUCAUUCCUUGGAAAACCCGAGAUUGUAGAGAACACUGAUGCAGAUCACAGGAUGGGGAUGACCGAAAAAUGGACCCCAGGGGAAAAACAGUUAAGUGGGUUAUUAUGGCUCUACCGGUCCGACCAAAUAAGGGAUGGUGGAUUUAUGAUCAGAUUCUGAAUUCUAGAACAGGAAGGGACCUGGAAUGAACAGAAGCGCAGACGCCCGGGGCUCAGCGAUGUGCAGGUUUGUCACGACUGUUUCUGGACCCAGAGGGAACCGGGUAAGGAUGGCAAGACUCAUCAGGGCUGUGUCCCCGCAGGAUGUAAGGUCUACUUAGCAACUGGCCCCUCCCUCCCUGGGGCCAUGUGUCAUUACUCAGCCCAUGGGGGUCAGGGUAGUUCAGAGGAUACUUGCUGAGGUUGCAGACCUGGAGAUCCAGGAUUUGGGGGAAGUUGGUGCCGAGAAGUGUCCCUUUCUUUUCUUCUCUUUUCCACGAGGAAGCUCAGCUCAUCCGCGGGUGUGGAAAGCUGAGAACGAGGUUCCGACCUGCAGGCUGGCUCAGUGUCCGUGAGGAUGGAUGUCCCCCUCACCAAGCACCGUAGGGGGGCAUAGGGUCAUCAGGGAAGGCUUCGAGAAGCACGAAAAGCUGCGUGGACAGACCCCCGGGAAUGGACAUGAUGACGAAGGUGAUGUACUGUCUGUCCACGGAGCAUCUCCCGUUUCCUAUCACAGGGUCCUACAAGCGCCUUUUCAUUUCCUCCUGUCCUUAGGGUGUGUUUCUUAAUACGGAUGAGCGUUUGAAAUUAGGUUGUGAUGUUGUCUGAUUUUUGUGCCCCCUCCCCUUGAAGGUGGGCUCUGUGGAGCAGAGGUGGGAGCUAACUCACUGUGACAUGACAGCGUCCAGCCGGUCUCCAGUGGUGGGGUCCUGAGGAGGAGUCUUAAAGAAAGUGAUACGUGGACUUCAACGUCUUUAGUCUGAAGGGAAGCAGCCUCGAAGAAACCUCGCCCUGGAUGUCCAGAGCUCCACAGUAACCUCUUCACUCGCCUAUGAAAGAAGUAGUUUUAAAACUAUCAGCUGCUCCUUCCUUUCUCCUGCCUCUGGAACCUCGUCCUCCCCUGACCCUGCAUGAAGAUGGUCCCUGAGGUCUGACCCUGGCGUCCUCUCCCUGAUCAGCGUGAUGGGGCCAAUGGAUUCUGCCAUCUCUCACCUUUAUGGAAGCUCCAAAACCUGUCGCUCCCUCCAAAGUGAAGUCCCUCCAGUAAACCUCUUCCUUCCUGAACUUGGCCCGUCACUAACAGCAUUCCCUACCCCAUCAAACAUCACAGCUGCUAAGCAACCUGAAAUCCAGACGUUGGGAAUUGAUUUCUGUGGCUGAGGAAGUGGGUCUCACCCUAACACAAGCCAGGGUGCCUGAGAAGCAGCAUGCCUGUCACCACAUCUGGAAUCUGCAGGCACAGUUUCUAAAGGAAAACCUGUACAACUGAACCACAGGUGAGGACAGACAUCCAAACAGAAUCCCCUGUGAGUCCCAAGGAGAUGGGGUGGCACGGCCAGACCCACAGAGGACCCUCCCACUGCCCUGAAAACUACCUUCCACAGCUUUAGUUUUAAAUCAUGGACUCACCCCUGAGUGCCCCCGGCUGUGUGGUUGUGCCUGGCUGAGAGCUGACUUGACUUUUACCCCAUGCCAUGUUCCCUGGGAGUCCUGGAGACCCCGUUACAGACUGUUUACAACAGCUGAGAUGUGGAAGCAACCUAAGUGCCUAUCGACAGAGGAAUGGAUAAAGAAGAUGUGGUACCUAUACACACAGUGAAAUGUUACUCAGCCAUGAAAAAGAAUGAAAUCAUGCCAUUGGCAGCAACAUGGGUGGACCCAGAGAUGAUCAUACUCAGUGAACACCUAGAAGCCUGCCAGCGUCAUGGUCUCUUCUUGCUUGAAAUCUUGAACUAAAAUAAGGAUUGAGGAAACACCCAGUACACACGUCCGUGCUGCAAACAGUUGAGUGAUAAAGACAGAAAAAUACAGAUAAGACUGUUUUGCUGAUGUGCUCAGGAAAGUCCAUUAGACCUGUCUUGGCACCAUUGUGUCUGUGAUCAAGUGACUGAAAGUGCCGUGGGACUCUGGGACAAAUGUGGAAGAACUCCGGUGACAGGAAGAUGCUUGUGUGAACAAAGAAGACGCGUAGAAGGUAAAGUUGGAGAGAAGAUUGGGAAGCGGGUCAUAUAAAACCUUGGAGGCUGUGCUGAAGACUUAGAUUAUAUUCGACCUGCAAUAUUAUAUCCUGGGAUAUUCUACCUAUAUAACAGAACGCGCACGAAUGACCUAUUCUCAUUUAUAUUUUUAUAACGUACUCUGGCUUUUAUGAGAGCAGUGGACAAGGGGAGACACUGUGUGAGUUUGCCAGGGCUGUCGUAACAGAGGACCACAGAAUGGGCGGCUUCAACACAGAAAUGUAUUUUCUCACGGUCCUGGAGCCUGGAAGUCUAGGAGUCAGGAGCCAGCAGGGUUGUCUGCUGGUGAGAUUUCUCUACCUGGCUUGUAUACGGCUGUCU
Balaenoptera acutorostrata (minke whale) is the source of this 7469-nucleotide RNA transcript. It is a transcript of the gene named dehydrogenase/reductase X-linked, with no coding region annotated. NCBI's taxonomy places the organism in Eukaryota, Metazoa, Chordata, Mammalia, Artiodactyla, Balaenopteridae. The record is from RefSeq and is a predicted model, not a curated record. The transcript has 18 exons.